Molecule: ribosomal RNA, 500 nt
Filed under: uncultured bacterium
Lineage: Bacteria
Description: bacterial SSU rRNA
Rfam family: Bacterial small subunit ribosomal RNA
Source: RNAcentral
GGUCAGAACGAACGCUGGCGGCGCGUCUUAAGCAUGCAAGUCGAGCGGCAGUAGCAAUACGAGAGCGGCGGACGGGUGAGUAACACGUGGGUAAUCUGCCUACCAGUCGGGGAUAGCCUGUGGAAACACAGGAUAAUACCGGAUGCGAUGCCUUUCACACAAGUGAGAGGUAGGAAAGGGGCCAAGGCCCCGCUGGAAGAUGAGCCCGCGUCCCAUUAGCUAGAUGGCGGGGUAAAGGCCCACCAUGGCGAUGAUGGGUAGCCGGCCUGAGAGGGUGAACGGCCACAUUGGAACUGAGACACGGUCCAGACUCCUACGGAAGGCAGCAGCUAAGAAUCUUCCACAAUGGACGAAAGUCUGAUGGAGCGACGCCGCGUGGGCGAUGAAGGCCGUGAGGUUGUAAAGCCCUUUUCUUGAGGAGGAAUAAGUGGGACAGGGAAUGGUCCUGCGAUGACGUGAAUCAAGGAAUAAGCCCCGGCUAACUACGUGCCAGCCGCCGC